RNAcentral lists this long non-coding RNA (1616 nucleotides) under Homo sapiens (human). Its description in RNAcentral is "HSALNT0375646". The record is from RNAcentral. Lineage: Eukaryota; Metazoa; Chordata; Mammalia; Primates; Hominidae.
CCCUCUGAUGCCGAGCCAAGGCUGGACGGUGCUGCUGCCAUCUCGGCUCACUGCAGCCUCCCUGCCUGAUUCUCCUGCCUCAGCCUGCUGAGUGCCUGCGAUUGCAGGCGCACGCCGCCACGCCUCACUGGUUUUCGUUUUUUUUUUUUGGUGGAGACGGGGUUUUGCUGUGUUGGCCGGGCUGGUCUCCAGCUCCUAGCCACGAGUGAUCCGCCAGCCUCAGCCUCCCGGGGUGCCGGGAUUGCGGACGGAGUCUCGUUCACUCAGUGCUCAGUGGUGCCCAGGCUGGAGUGCAGUGGCGUGAUCUCGGCUCGCUACAGCCUCCACCUCCCAGCCGCCUGCCUUGGCCCCCCAAAGUGCCGAGAUUGCAGCCUCUGCCCAGCCGCCACCCCGUCUGGGAAGUGAGGAGCGUCUCUGCUUGGCCACCCAUCGUCUGGGAUAUGAGGAGCCUCUCUGCCUGGCUGCCCAGUCUGGAAAGUGAGGAGCGUCUCUGCCCGGCCGCCAUCCCAUCUAGGAAGCGAGGAGCGCCUCUUCCCGGCCGCCUUCCCAUCUAGGAAGUGAGGAGCGUCUCUGCCCGGCCGCCCAUGUCUGAGAUGUGGGGAGCACCUCUGCCCCGCCGCCCUGUCUGGGAUGUGAGGAGCGCCUCUGCUGGCCGCAACCCUGUCUGAGAGGUGAGGAGCGUCUCUGCCCGGCCGCCCUGUCUGAGAAGUGAGGAAACCCUCUGCCUGGCAACCGCCCCGUCUGAGAAGUGAGGAGCCCCUCCGUCCGGCAGCCACCCCGUCUGGGAAGUGAGGAGCGUCUCCGCCCGGCAGCCACCCCGUCCGGGAGGGAGGUGGUGGGGGGUCAGCCCCCCGCCAGGCCAGCCGCCCCGUCCGGGAGGUGAGGGGCGCCUCUGCCCGGCCGCCCCUACUGGGAAGUGAGGAGCCCCUCUGCCCGGCCAGCCACCCCGUCCGGGAGGGAGAUGGGGGGGUCAGCCCCCCGCCCGGCCAGCCGCCCCGUCCGGGAGGUGAGGGGCGCCUCUGCCCGGCCGCCCCUACUGGGAAGUGAGGAGCCCCUCUGCCCGGCCACCACCCCGUCUGGGAGGUGUGCCCAACAGCUCAUUGAGAACGGGUCAGGAUGACAAUGGCGGCUUUGUGGAAUAGAAAGGCGGGAAAGGUGGGGAAAAGAUUGAGAAAUCGGAUGGUUGCCGUGUCUGUGUAGAAGGAAGUAGACAUGGGAGACUUUUCAUUUUGUUCUGUACUAAGAAAAAUUCCUCUGCCUUGGGAUCCUGUUGAUCUGUGACCUUACCCCCAACCCGGUGCUCUCUGAAACAUGUGCUGUGUCCACUCAGGGUUAAAUGGAUUAAGGGCGGUGCAAGAUGUGCUUUGUUAAACAGAUGCUUGAAGGCAGCAUGCUCCUUAAGAGUCAUCACCACUCCCUAAUCUCAAGUAAUCAGGGACACAAACACUGCGGAAGGCCGCAGGGUCCUCUGCCUAGGAAAACCAGAGACCUUUGUUCACUUGUUUAUCUGCUGACCUUCCCUCCACUAUUGUCCCAUGACCCUGCCAAAUCCUCCUCUGUGAGAAACACCCAAGAAUUAUCAAUAAAAAAAUAAAUUUAAAAAAAAAAAAAAUUUA